This 464-nucleotide ribosomal RNA is filed under the name uncultured bacterium. RNAcentral describes it as "partial 16S ribosomal RNA". It matches the Rfam family "Bacterial small subunit ribosomal RNA", at positions 29 to 507 of the family's 1533-position model. The record is from RNAcentral.
ACGCACGCUGGCGGCGUGCUUAACCCAUGCAAGUCGAACGGAAAGGCCCCUUUGGGGGUCCUCGAGUGGCGAACGGGUGAGUAACACGUGAGUAACCUGCCCUUGACUUCGGGAUAACUUCAGGAAACUGGGGCUAAUACCGGAUAGGAAUCCUUGCUGCAUGGUGGGGGUUGGAAAGCUUCGGCGGUUUUGGAUGGACUCGCGGCUUAUCAGCUUGUUGGUGGGGUAGUGGCUUACCAAGGCUUUGACGGGUAGCCGGCCUGAGAGGGCGACCGGCCACAUUGGGACUGAGAUACGGCCCAGACUCCUACGGGAGGCAGCAGUGGGGAAUAUUGCACAAUGGGCGGAAGCCUGAUGCAGCAACGCCGCGUGCGGGAUGACGGCCUUCGGGUUGUAAACCGCUUUCAGCAGGGGCGAAGCUUGUGGUGACGGUACCUGCAGAAGAAGCACCGGCUAACUACGUG